CCUACGGGGGGCAGCAGUGAGGAAUAUUGGUCAAUGGCCGGGAGGCUGAACCAGCCAAGUCGCGUGAGGGAAGACGGCCCUACGGGUUGUAAACCUCUUUUGUCAGGGAGAAAGUUGCAGGUCGGGACCUGCUGUGAGAGUACCUGAAGAAAAAGCAUCGGCUAACUCCGUGCCAGCAGCCGCGGUAAUACGGAGGAUGCGAGCGUUAUCCGGAUUUAUUGGGUGUAAAGGGUGCGCAGGCGGAGGCACAAGUCAGCGGUAAAAUCGCGGGGCUCAACCACGCUACGGCGUUGGAACUGUGUCCUUUGAGUGAGGGAAGGGGAGGCGGAAUGCGUGGGGUAGCGGUGAAAUGCAGAGAUGACACGGAGAAAUCCGAUCGGGAAGGCAGCCUACCGGCGCGCAACUGACGCUCAUGGACGAAAGCGUGGGUAUCGAACAGGAUUAGAUACCCCCAGUAGUC
RNAcentral lists this ribosomal RNA (460 nucleotides) under uncultured bacterium. RNAcentral's name for it is "partial 16S ribosomal RNA". It matches the Rfam family "Bacterial small subunit ribosomal RNA", at positions 338 to 795 of the family's 1533-position model. The record is from RNAcentral.